RNAcentral lists this ribosomal RNA (2919 nucleotides) under Lactiplantibacillus plantarum. Its description in RNAcentral is "bacterial LSU rRNA". It matches the Rfam family "Bacterial large subunit ribosomal RNA". The record is from RNAcentral. Lineage: Bacteria; Bacillati; Bacillota; Bacilli; Lactobacillales; Lactobacillaceae.
UUAAGUUAACAAGGGCGCAUGGUGAAUGCCUUGGCACUAGGAGCCGAUGAAGGACGGGACUAACACCGAUAUGCUUCGGGGAGCUGUACGUAAGCUAUGAUCCGGAGAUUUCCGAAUGGGGCAACCCAGCAGUUUUAAUCAACUGUUACCACUAGAUGAAUUCAUAGUCUAGUUGGAGGUAAACGCUGUGAACUGAAACAUCUCAUUAGCAGCAGGAAUAUAAAGAAAUUUCGAUUCCCUAAGUAGCGGCGAGCGAACGGGGAACAGCCCAAACCAAAGUGCUUGCACUUUGGGGUUGUAGGACUGAACAUUUGAGUUACCAAAGAACUUGAUAGUCGAAGGAUUUGGGAAAAUCCGCCAUAGAUGGUGAUAGCCCAGUAGAUUAAAUCAAAUUCUCUCAGUUCAGGAUCCUGAGUACGGCGGAACACGUGAAAUUCCGUCGGAAUCCGGGAGGACCAUCUCCCAAGGCUAAAUACUACCUAGUGACCGAUAGUGAACCAGUACCGUGAGGGAAAGGUGAAAAGCACCCCGGGAGGGGAGUGAAAUAGUUCCUGAAACCAUGUGCCUACAAUAAGUCAGAGCGCGUUAAUGCGUGAUGGCGUGCCUUUUGUAGAAUGAACCGGCGAGUUAUGAUCCCGUGCAAGGUUAAGACUAAAAAGUCGGAGCCGUAGCGAAAGCGAGUCUGAAAUGGGCGUUUUGAGUACGAGGUUAUAGACCCGAAACCAGGUGACCUAUCCAUGUCCAGGUUGAAGGUGCGGUAAAACGCACUGGAGGACCGAACCCGUGUAAGUUGAAAAUUGCUGGGAUGAGGUGUGGAUAGCGGUGAAAUUCCAAACGAACUUGGAGAUAGCUGGUUCUCUCCGAAAUAGCUUUAGGGCUAGCCUCGGAAUUAGGAUCAUGGAGGUAGAGCACUAUUUGGACUAGGGGCCCGUCUUGGGUUACUGAAUUCAGAUAAACUCCGAAUGCCAUUGAUUCAUAUCCGGGAGUCAGACGAUGAGUGAUAAGAUCCACCGUCGAAAGGGGAACAGCCCAGACCAUCAGUUAAGGUCCCUAAAUGUAUGCUAAGUGGAAAAGGAUGUGGAGUUGCAUAGACAACUAGGAUGUUGGCUCAGAAGCAGCCACCAUUUAAAGAGUGCGUAAUAGCUCACUAGUCGAGUGAUCCUGCGCCGAAAAUGUACCGGGGCUAAGCAUACUACCGAAACCAUGGAUGCGACCAUUAGGUCGCGUGAUAGGAGAGCGUUCUAAGGGCGGUGAAGCAAGAUCGUGAGGACUUGUGGAGCGCUUAGAAGUGAGAAUGCCGGUAUGAGUAGCGAAAGAUAGGUGAGAAUCCUAUCCACCGAAUGACUAAGGUUUCCUGGGGAAGGCUCGUCCUCCCAGGGUUAGUCGGGACCUAAGUCGAGGCCGAGAGGCGUAGACGAUGGAUAACAGGUUGAGAUUCCUGUACUAGUUAAGUGCGUUUGAGCAAUGGAGGGACGCAGGAGGCUAAGAUGUGCAUUCUGUUGGAUUAGAAUGUCCAAGCAGUAAGUUUUGUGAAGAGUCAAAUGCUUUUCACUUUAAGGACAAGCUGUGAUGGGGAGCGAAAUUUAGUAGCGAAGCGUCUGAUGUCACACUGCCGAGAAAAGCUUCUAGUGAGUACUUAACUACCCGUACCGCAAACCGACACAGGUAGUCGAGGAGAGAAUCCUAAGGUGAGCGAGUGAACUCUCGUUAAGGAACUCGGCAAAAUGACCCCGUAACUUCGGGAGAAGGGGUGCUGAUCGCAAGAUCAGCCGCAGUGAAUAGGCCCAGGCGACUGUUUAUCAAAAACACAGGUCUCUGCAAAAUCGUAAGAUGACGUAUAGGGGCUGACGCCUGCCCGGUGCUGGAAGGUUAAAAGGAUGGGUUAGCUUCGGCGAAGCUCAGAAUUGAAGCCCCAGUAAACGGCGGCCGUAACUAUAACGGUCCUAAGGUAGCGAAAUUCCUUGUCGGGUAAGUUCCGACCCGCACGAAAGGCGUAACGAUCUGGGCACUGUCUCAACGAGAGACUCGGUGAAAUUAUAUUGUCCGUGAAGAUGCGGACUACCCGCGACAGGACGGAAAGACCCCAUGGAGCUUUACUGUAGCUUGAUAUUGAGUGUUUGUACAGCUUGUACAGGAUAGGUAGGAGCCAUAGAAACCGGAACGCUAGUUUCGGUGGAGGCGUUGGUGGGAUACUACCCUCGCUGUAUGACCACUCUAACCCGCACCACUAAUCGUGGUGGGAGACAGUGUCAGGUGGGCAGUUUGACUGGGGCGGUCGCCUCCUAAAAAGUAACGGAGGCGCCCAAAGGUUCCCUCAGAAUGGUUGGAAAUCAUUCGCAGAGUGUAAAGGCACAAGGGAGCUUGACUGCGAGACAGACAGGUCGAGCAGGGACGAAAGUCGGGCUUAGUGAUCCGGUGGUACCGUAUGGAAGGGCCAUCGCUCAACGGAUAAAAGCUACCCUGGGGAUAACAGGCUUAUCUCCCCCAAGAGUCCACAUCGACGGGGAGGUUUGGCACCUCGAUGUCGGCUCAUCGCAUCCUGGGGCUGUAGUCGGUCCCAAGGGUUGGGCUGUUCGCCCAUUAAAGCGGUACGCGAGCUGGGUUCAGAACGUCGUGAGACAGUUCGGUCCCUAUCCGUCGCGGGCGUAGGAAAUUUGAGAGGACCUGUCCUUAGUACGAGAGGACCGGGAUGGACAUACCUCUGGUGUACCAGUUGUGCCGCCAGGCGCAUCGCUGGGUAGCUACGUAUGGAUGUGAUAAACGCUGAAAGCAUCUAAGUGUGAAACACACCUCGAGAUGAGAUUUCCCAUUCCUUUAUGGAAGUAAGACCCCUGAAAGAUGAUCAGGUAGAUAGGUUAGAAGUGGCAGUGCGGUGACGCAUGAAGCGGACUAAUACUAAUCGGUCGAGGACUUAACCAA